GACGAACGCUGGCGGCGUGCUUAACACAUGCAAGUCGAACGGAAAGGCCCUGCUUUUGUGGGGUGCUCGAGUGGCGAACGGGUGAGUAACACGUGAGUAACCUGCCCUUGACUUUGGGAUAACUUCAGGAAACUGGGGCUAAUACCGGAUAGGAGCUCCUGCUGCAUGGUGGUGGUUGGAAAGUUUCGGCGGUUGGGGAUGGACUCGCGGCUUAUCAGCUUGUUGGUGGGGUAGUGGCUGACCAAGGCUUGGACGGGUAGCCGGCCUGAGAGGGUGACCGGCCACAUUGGGACUGAGAUACGGCCCAGACUCCUACGGGAGGCAGCAGUGGGGAAUAUUGCACAAUGGGCGGAAGCCUGAUGCAGCAACGCCGCGUGCGGGAUGACGGCCUUCGGGUUGUAAACCGCUUUCGCCUGUGACGAAGCGUGAGUGACGGUAAUGGGUAAAGAAGCACCGGCUAACUACGUG
RNAcentral lists this ribosomal RNA (468 nucleotides) under uncultured bacterium. RNAcentral describes it as "partial 16S ribosomal RNA". It matches the Rfam family "Bacterial small subunit ribosomal RNA", at positions 28 to 507 of the family's 1533-position model. The record is from RNAcentral.